This is a non-coding RNA of Triticum urartu, 135 nucleotides long. Lineage: Eukaryota; Viridiplantae; Streptophyta; Magnoliopsida; Poales; Poaceae. The record is from Rfam.
GAUGUACUCCCUCUGCCCAGAAAUACUUGUCAUCAAAAUAAAUAAAAGGGGAUGUAUCUAGAUGUAUUUUAGUUCUAGAUCCAUCCCUUUUUGUCCAUUUUAAUGAUAAGUAUUUUCGGACGGAGGAAGUAGUAA